Astatotilapia calliptera (eastern happy) is the source of this 2800-nucleotide long non-coding RNA. The record is from Ensembl. NCBI's taxonomy places the organism in Eukaryota, Metazoa, Chordata, Actinopteri, Cichliformes, Cichlidae.
UGGAGCGGGACAGGGGCAACGUGGGAACCCUGGACCGACUGACAGCCAAAAGGGACCGGGAUAGCAACUCAGAUACACUAAACAGGAAAACGACACCAGUUUAAACUCAGAGAGAGAGGAGAGGAGAAAUAGAGAUGGAAUUUAGAGAGGAAGAGUAGGGCUGUAAAUGUGUGGGUGGCACGUCAACAAUAAGGUUUCUGUCCUUGAGCCUGAGGUAUCGAGCUGCCAUAAAUAUUAUAAACAGUCAUCAAACAUCUGAUGCUAAGAGCAAAUUCAUGACAGCCGCCUUAAAAAUUGUCAUGACUUUGAAACCUGUUUUGUUAAUUGCACAGCAGGGGUACAGUGGCGGAUUCGGGAAAUGUUUCUUUUCUCUGUUUUUUAUUCCUGAAUUACUCACUAAAUCAUAGAGAUACAAAACUCCCAGAUGUGUAAUAAAACAGCCUCCCAAUGCAGCAGUUAGGUGCCUUGCCGAGGAGGCAGGGGAACGCUUUCGUUAUUUAUUUCCCUUAUCUCAGUUUUGUCAGUUUCUACAAGGACAUCUUUUUAAAUCCUGAAAGAAACAGUAAAGGAAGCUUUGAUGAUUAUAAACCCCACUUACAAAUCACUAAUUUGUACACAUCUUAGAUCGGAUUGGCCUUAAAUCUACAUUUUCUUUUCACAAAGCAAGACACAGAGUCCUUGCUUUUUGGUAUUCUAAACUUUGCAACACUUUUUAACAUAAUAAUUAAAUUAUAAAGUGGCCAGAUGGUACAAGUCACAAUUCUUUCUUCCAUUUCUGUUUUAAAAGGACGAGAGCGUCACAGACGGGUACAUUCUGCCAAGUAACAAGCUGCUCAGUGACAAGUUGACUGCCAAUUGAAGGUCAACAGUAGCUCCUUAACCUCUGGACCCGAGAGAGAGCGACCUCAGCCAUAUCUAACGUAGAUCAGAGGAGGCUGCCGCACUUCAGUGGUGUCACGUGGAAAGCAUGUGAACAAAAGUGAGAGGCAACACCCUGCUUCACCCUCACAACGCUGGAACUGGAAGCUGGCCGAUAAAAGCCUCCCUGUUGGGUCAGUUUAGGAGUGGCUCCCCUGGGACAAUUGGGUGUUAUGUGCCUUGCUCAGGGGCACGUCAGUAUUUGAAAGAAAGUAAUUUUUCUUUUCUAACCAUUCUACAUAUAACUAGACAACUUUCUGGACCACAGUUUGUUUGUUAUUUUUGCUGUUGUUGUUGUUUUUUACCCAGUUGUCACUUUGAAUGUGUAUAAUCUUUUUAGUGUAAAUGUUUUUUUCUAUUCUGUUUACAUGUAAUUAAUUCUUCCGUUGUCUUUUAGAGAAAUAUUUUUGAAACGUUUGUCUUAUUUGCGAAUAAGGUUGGGCAACUGGAUCAAUAGGCCCAUAUAACCCGUCAGCUGUUUAUUAUUUAUGUCAUUUAGUUUUUCUAAUUUAGUGGUCUGCCUCUAUGAAAAUUCAGUUUGGCAAGACGUCGAGGUGUAAAUCACAGUUACAAUUAGCAGCGUUAGGAUGUUCGCGUUUAUUUUCUUGAGAGUGAGUUGUCAUGGAGACCUGACAUUAUAUGGUAGUGAUGGCGCUGCAGAAUGUCGAGUUCCUGUGAAAGUCUUUAUUGUCCGACAACUUUCCAAGCUAACAAGUGAUUCCAGAGCUAUGCUAUGUAAGCUAGCUGCAUGUUGCACAUCAGUACAUUAUAGUUUUCUGCACCUGAUCACUUAAAAACCCUUUCAGAACCUGAAAGGUAUCCUGCUUCAUUUGGGUCUAACAGCUUGCAAAUUUAGUCCAGUUUAAAAUAAUUAUCAUAACUAUUUUGUUUGGGGUUUUUUGGCAGUGAACAAGAGUGUGUGCAGCUAGGGGGAGAAGUGGCUGCUGCAUACACGCCCAUCCUGUAUAAUAUAAAGGCAACUGCUGAUUGUUGGACUGACGAUGGCCAGCUGGCAGAUUUUACCACGUCGCCCGGCCCUGUUUCCUAAUGUUAGAUUUUUCUUUGGUGUUUUCUCUUUCUCUAAACUAUUUUACUCUCCUUCCAUUUUAUUCUUCUAUAACCCUGAUCCUCAUUUCUCUCCAUCAUCAUUUUGUCUUCAUUUCGUUGUAGGAAAUGAAUUGAUGUUUUACUUUCUAAACAUUACCAACGUAGCCUAAUAAUCAGUGUUUUUAAUGUUCUGACUAGUGUAUAACUGUAAGCGAUAGACUUUAUAUUAAUCUAUUUAUUUUGGUGGUGGUAUGUAUAGAUAUUCUUAAUGUUAUAUUGUUUCAGAGUUCCUACACCUGUAACUUUGGGCUAUAAAAGGCUUUAUGCCUGCCUGUGACAUAUGCUCAGUAGCCUAAGUGCUGGCAAAGUAAAUGUGGUCUGUGUUGGUGCUGUCUAUGGUUUUUACACAAUAAUCUUUGAGUACAACAAACUACAUCUUUGUUACAGAACUAAAUCGACUCUAGAGCACGUCCUAAUCUUGUAGUUUUGCUUUCUGCAAAAUGUUUAUGAAAACAUGCUCAAAAGCAGCGAUCUCGUUCUUUCGUUUUCAAUUCAUGUCCUGAUGUGAAAGCCAUUUUAAAGCCAGCGUGAGUCACCAGGUUCUUUUCCCAACACCUAGGCUGCUGACACAAGUCAAACAUGAAGCUCUUCAGAUGGAAAACUAGUAAAUUUCCACUCAGCAGACUGAUACACGGAAGGAACAAUAUGGAAAAGGGGAAGCAAUACAAUACAAUAUACUGAUCCUCAUUGGUAAAGACAAAAAAUAUAAGGUAUAUAUAAAUAUAUACAUAUAUAAAUAUAUAGAUAUAUUCAAUAAAGUUCUCUAUGAAAAAUG